UACGUAGGGUGCGAGCGUUAAUCGGAAUUACUGGGCGUAAAGCGUGCGCAGGCGGCCGUGCACGUGGGGUGUGAAAGCUCGCGGCUUAACUGCGAGAGACCAUCCCAUACGGCGCGGCUCGAGCCGUCCAGAGGCCGGUGGAAUUGCCGGUGUAGUGGUGAAAUUCGUAGAUAUUAGGAAGAACACCAGUGGCGAAGGCGGCUCACUGGCCCGGUACUGACGCUGAGGCGCGAAAGCGUGGGGAGCAAACAGG
This 253-nucleotide ribosomal RNA is filed under the name uncultured bacterium. RNAcentral's name for it is "partial 16S ribosomal RNA". It matches the Rfam family "Bacterial small subunit ribosomal RNA", at positions 524 to 776 of the family's 1533-position model. The record is from RNAcentral.